UUUUAAUGAUGACAUUUAUCACUUGGUCUGUGUUUCUGAAAUCACAUUCUGAUGAUACCAACAUUAAAGCUGAAAAA
This is a non-coding RNA of Plasmodium ovale wallikeri, 77 nucleotides long. The record is from Rfam. Lineage: Eukaryota; Apicomplexa; Aconoidasida; Haemosporida; Plasmodiidae.